GGUGGCAAGGUGGAACUGUUUUAUCUCAAGUGUGGAGGCAGUGAACACGCAUUCGAGACCGGACCUCUGAUAAAUCUGCGAUGGACUCUGCUCUCACACUCCGGCGGAAUAGUUACACUCCCUUGUCCAGUCACGACCAGUUCAAGCGUCCUAGGCUCUACAGCGCGGGCAACCAGCCCUGGCUCCCGCUCGCCCCCACCCCCGCAGCACUGAUGCCAGAGGGACGGCAAAGCCAAGAGUCCCUGUGCGAAGGAAGCAACGCUGACAGCGACCCUGACAGCCCCGAAGAAACGAGUGGCUGUGUCCGCUUCUGAGUGAAGAUGAAGGUCUCUUCCUUCAAUGUGUCAAAGUUCUGGGUUCAAUCAUGUUAGAAAGAUGAUAAUAUUUGUUUUAAUUCCAUAUUCUUUUAAAUGUUGGUCUGAUUAUGAGGUCAUUUGUUGGUCCUAAAUCUCUCUGUUUAACUUCACUCUGCAUGCUGAGGCUUCAAACUGGAAGACUUUUCAUGGGUAUCAAACACUACUGCAUGUGCACAACAAUCAAGCAACCAAGAAUAAACAGGUUUACUUAUCCUCUAUGUAAAUAUUAUAAUACCUCCCUCAACUUUAACUUGUGCGUUGAAAACCAUUUUUAGGUCAUUGCAAAUAGAACUUGUUAUACAGAAGAUGUUGUAGGAAUUAUUUUAUAAGAUACCAAUAUUCUCAUUUAGCAAACGUACUGUAAUUGUAAGUCUUAUAUUCAUAUUUAUAACAUCACAUGUUAUGUUAUUGUUAUUUGGUUUUUAUUUGUGCUUUUGUCGUUUUGAAGGAAAUUAAAAUACUGUAUUGAGUUGGUUUCUUCUGUUUUGGAAGCCUAUCUUGUUGGUCUUUUUAGAAAUACCUCAUUGGGAAAACUGUGUUCUAGCAGCAGUUAAAGAAGUUUAGUUUUCUGUCAUAGGCUACUUGUAAUGAGAUGGUUUGCUCUAUCACAAUUUAAACCCUAAAUGUUCAUCUGUUUAUUGUUUUUCUUGACUUUAUAUCCAAGCAUGUUGAUGGCUUAUUAGCUAUAUCUUGACAUCAUUUGUAUCCUACUUGCCAUACAUUUCUUCUAAUUGCUUGGUAUUGGUAAUGUAACUUUACUCUUUACUUCAUUCUCUUGACCUAUUUAAAACACAAAAUCCUCUCAUCAUACUUAAUCCUAGACAGUAGCACAAGUUAUAUUCUACGACUUUGUAAUGUUUGAAUGUUGAUAUGUAUUCGCUCAUAGCAGCCUACUGUGCCUUUCACGCAGAAAAUAAAAGUGAAUUCUCAUAUGA
This is a long non-coding RNA of Notothenia coriiceps (black rockcod), 1291 nucleotides long. RefSeq lists it as uncharacterized. The record is from RefSeq and is a predicted model, not a curated record. The transcript has 3 exons. NCBI's taxonomy places the organism in Eukaryota, Metazoa, Chordata, Actinopteri, Perciformes, Nototheniidae.